UACAGAGGGUGCAAGCGUUAAUCGGAAUUACUGGGCGUAAAGCGUGCGUAGACGGUUAUGUAAGUCAGGUGUGAAAGCCCCGGGCUCAACCUGGGAAUUGCAUUUGUGACUGCAUCGCUGGAGUGCGGCAGAGGGGGAUGGAAUUCCGCGUGUAGCAGUGAAAUGCGUAGAUAUGCGGAGGAACACCGAUGGCGAAGGCAAUCCCCUGGGCCUGCACUGACGCUCAUGCACGAAAGCGUGGGGAGCAAACAGG
This 253-nucleotide ribosomal RNA is filed under the name uncultured bacterium. Its description in RNAcentral is "partial 16S ribosomal RNA". It matches the Rfam family "Bacterial small subunit ribosomal RNA", at positions 524 to 776 of the family's 1533-position model. The record is from RNAcentral.